This 407-nucleotide ribosomal RNA is filed under the name uncultured bacterium. Its description in RNAcentral is "partial 16S ribosomal RNA". It matches the Rfam family "Bacterial small subunit ribosomal RNA", at positions 30 to 526 of the family's 1533-position model. The record is from RNAcentral.
AUUGAACGCUGGCGGCAGGCCUAACACAUGCAAGUCGAGCGGAGCUGCGGAAGGGGACGUAAGGCCUAGGAAUCGGCCUGGUAGUGAGGGAGAACGUCAGGAAACGGACGCGAUGACAGCAUACUAGCAAAGGAGUCUAGGUCGGAUUAGCUAGUUGGUGUGGUAAAGGCCUACCAAGGCGACGAUCCGUAACUGGGCUGAGAGGAUGAUCAGUCACACUGGGACUGAGACACGGUCCAGACUCCUACGGGAGGCAGCAGUAGGGAAUAUUGGGCAAUGGGCGAAAGCCUGAUCCAGCCAUGCCGCGUGUGUGAAGAAGGUCUUCGGAUUGUAAAGCCCUUUUGGUUGGGAGGCGUUACCAACAGAAUAAGCAACGGCUAACUUCGUGCCAGCAGCCGCGGUAAUUC